RNAcentral lists this ribosomal RNA (497 nucleotides) under uncultured bacterium. RNAcentral describes it as "partial 16S ribosomal RNA". It matches the Rfam family "Bacterial small subunit ribosomal RNA", at positions 28 to 507 of the family's 1533-position model. The record is from RNAcentral.
GAUGAACGCUGGCGGCGUGCCUAAUACAUGCAAGUCGAGCGAACGGACGAGAAGCUUGCUUCUCUGAUGUUAGCGGCGGACGGGUGAGUAACACGUGGAUAACCUACCUAUAAGACUGGGAUAACUUCGGGAAACCGGAGCUAAUACCGGAUAAUAUUUUGAACCGCAUGGUUCAAAAGUGAAAUACGUUCUUGCUGUCACUUAUAGCUGGAUCCGCGCUGCAUUAGCUAGUUGGUAAGGUAACGGCUUACCAAGGCAACGAUGCAUAGCCGACCUGAGAGGGUGAUCGGCCACACUGGAACUGAGACACGGUCCAGACUCCUACGGGAGGCAGCAGUAGGGAAUCUUCCGCAAUGGGCGAAAGCCUGACGGAGCAACGCCGCGUGAGUGAUGAAGGUCUUCGGAUCGUAAAACUCUGUUAUUAGGGAAGAACAUAUGUGUAAGUAACUGUGCACAUCUUGACGGUACCUAAUCAGAAAGCCACGGCUAACUACGUG